AUCUUUGGAGGAAAGUGUUAUACCGUGAGGGAGAAAGAAUCCUUCAUUUUCACCUUUUUUAUUUUUCAAUCCUCUUUUUUUUUAAUCGAUGGAGAGGUUAUGUGGAUUAUCAUGGUGUAUGUGGUUUAUCUUUUUGUGACUUUUUGAUUUGCAGCUUUUUUUAAUUCUUAUGGUGACCAUUUGGGCAGUUUUGCUUGCAUAAUUGUGUUGGAAUUACACCCAAAACUUGGAGAAUUCUGAAUCAAUCUUGACGAACAAGAAUCAGUUCUUCUGAUUGAU
Molecule: long non-coding RNA, 279 nt
Filed under: Lathyrus oleraceus (garden pea)
Lineage: Eukaryota; Viridiplantae; Streptophyta; Magnoliopsida; Fabales; Fabaceae
Description: Pisum sativum (pea) long non-coding RNA (PSAT_LNC010559)
Source: RNAcentral